GGGUGCGACCAUACCAGCACUAACGCACCGGAUCCCAUCCGAACUCCGAAGUUAAGCGUGCUUGGGCGAGAGUAGUACUAGGAUGGGUGACACCCUGGGAAGCCCUCGUGUUGCACCCC
RNAcentral lists this ribosomal RNA (119 nucleotides) under Olea europaea subsp. europaea. The record is from RNAcentral. Lineage: Eukaryota; Viridiplantae; Streptophyta; Magnoliopsida; Lamiales; Oleaceae.